CACGUAGGCGGUUUCUUAAGUCAGAGGUGAAAGCCCGGGGCUCAACUCCGGAAUUGCCUUUGAAACUGGGAGACUUGAACACGGGAGAGGUGAGUGGAAUUCCGAGUGUAGAGGUGAAAUUCGUAGAUAUUCGGAGGAACACCAGUGGCGAAGGCGGCUCACUGGACAGUGACUGACGCUCAUAUGCGAAAGCGUGGGGAUCAAACAGGAUUAGUUACCCUG
Molecule: ribosomal RNA, 222 nt
Filed under: uncultured Sandaracinobacter sp.
Lineage: Bacteria; Pseudomonadati; Pseudomonadota; Alphaproteobacteria; Sphingomonadales; Sphingosinicellaceae
Description: partial 16S ribosomal RNA
Rfam family: Bacterial small subunit ribosomal RNA
Source: RNAcentral